GUCCACGCCCUAAACGAUGCUGACUAGUUGUUCGGGAAUUUAUUCCUGAGUAACGUAGCUAACGCGUGAAGUCAGCCGCCUGGGGAGUACGGUCGCAAGAUUAAAACUAAAGGAAUUGACGGGACCCGCACAAGCGGUGGAUGAUGUGGAUUAAUUCGAUGCAACGCGAAAACCUUACCUACCCUUGACAUGCCACUAACGAAGUAGAGAUACAUUAGGUGCCCGUAAGGGAAAGUGGACACAGGUGCUGCAUGGCUGUCGU
RNAcentral lists this ribosomal RNA (262 nucleotides) under uncultured bacterium. RNAcentral's name for it is "partial 16S ribosomal RNA". It matches the Rfam family "Bacterial small subunit ribosomal RNA", at positions 793 to 1055 of the family's 1533-position model. The record is from RNAcentral.